This 253-nucleotide ribosomal RNA is filed under the name uncultured bacterium. RNAcentral's name for it is "partial 16S ribosomal RNA". It matches the Rfam family "Bacterial small subunit ribosomal RNA", at positions 524 to 776 of the family's 1533-position model. The record is from RNAcentral.
UACGUAGGGAGCAAGCGUUGUCCGGAAUUAUUGGGCGUAAAGAGCUCGUAGGCGGCCAGUUGCGUCUGCUGUGAAAUCCCGGGGCUCAACCCCGGGCUUGCAGUGGAUACGGGCUGGCUGGAGGCAGGCAGGGGAGAACGGAAUUCCCGGUGUAGCGGUGAAAUGCGCAGAUAUCGGGAGGAACACCGGUGGCGAAGGCGGUUCUCUGGGCCUGUACUGACGCUGAGGAGCGAAAGCGUGGGGAGCGAACAGG